CCCGUCCUGGAAAAUUGACUGGAUAUUUGAUUUAAACGAAUUUUGAUAUAAUAAAUCAUGUAUGUAUAAUUGCUUUAUUUUCUCAUAUCUCAGAAGGUGUCUGUUUGGAUCAGUUAAACCAUUAUACUAUCGGGACUGCUAUGGAUUAUCAUCUGUAAAACUCGGAUUGCGAAAAAUGGCAGACCAGGUCCCAGGAAGACGAAGACAACUUAGUCACGUGGCGGUUUCAGAAGAGGCGAUGAACGAGGCCAAAAAGGCACAAGAACACCUUAACAACUUCUUCAAGAAAGUGUCUGAGCAAGUGAUUAUACCUGUGACUGGCAAGAAGAAAACAACAGGACAUUUGAACAAAAUAUGAAUAGCCUCAAACAGCAGGUGGGCAGUUUUGAAAAGAGAUGCAGUGAAUUGGAAAUGCAACUUCAGGAAAAAAACAAAGCAUUUGCAGAUCAAUUGGAAACAAGAA
This is a long non-coding RNA of Dreissena polymorpha, 463 nucleotides long. RefSeq lists it as uncharacterized. The transcript has 4 exons. NCBI's taxonomy places the organism in Eukaryota, Metazoa, Mollusca, Bivalvia, Myida, Dreissenidae. The record is from RefSeq and is a predicted model, not a curated record.